Molecule: ribosomal RNA, 460 nt
Filed under: uncultured bacterium
Lineage: Bacteria
Description: partial 16S ribosomal RNA
Rfam family: Bacterial small subunit ribosomal RNA
Source: RNAcentral
CCUACGGGGGGCAGCAGUGAGGAAUAUUUGUCAAUGGACGAGAGUCUGAACCAGCCAAGUAGCGUGAAGGAUUACUGCCCUAUGGGUUGUAAACUUCUUUUAUAAAGGAAUAAAACGAGACACGUGUGCCUUUUUGCGUGUACUUUAUGAAUAAGGAUCCGCUAACUCCGUUCCAGCAGCCGCGGUAAUACGGAGGAUCCGAGCGUUAUCCGGAUUUAUUGGGUUUAAAUGUAGCGUAGAUGGGUUGUUAAGUCAGUUGUGAAAGGUUGCGGCUCAACCGUAAAAUGGCAAAUGAUACUGGCAGUCUGGAGGACAGGUGAGGGAGGCGGAAUUCGUGGUGUAGCGGUGAAAUGCUUAGAUAUCACGAAGAACCCUGAUUGCGAAGGCAGCUUACUAAACUGUGACUGACAUUGAUGCUCGAAAGUGUGGGUAUCAAACAGGAUUAGAUACCCUUGUAGUC